CUGCGAUAAGCGCCGGUAAGGUGAUAUGAACCGUUAUAACCGGCGAUUUCCGAAUGGGGAAACCCAGUGUGACUCGUCACACUAUCAUUAACUGAAUCCAUAGGUUAAUGAGGCGAACCGGGGGAACUGAAACAUCUAAGUACCCCGAGGAAAAGAAAUCAACCGAGAUUCCCCCAGUAGCGGCGAGCGAACGGGGAGGAGCCCAGAGCCUGAAUCAGCAUGUGUGUUAGUGGAAGCGUCUGGAAAGGCGCGCGAUACAGGGUGACAGCCCCGUACACAAAAGCGCAUGUGCUGUGAGCUCGAUGAGUAGGGCGGGACACGUGGUAUCCUGUCUGAAUAUGGGGGGACCAUCCUCCAAGGCUAAAUACUCCUGACUGACCGAUAGUGAACCAGUACCGUGAGGGAAAGGCGAAAAGAACCCCGGCGAGGGGAGUGAAAAAGAACCUGAAACCGUGUACGUACAAGCAGUG
This 470-nucleotide ribosomal RNA is filed under the name Salmonella enterica subsp. enterica serovar Poona. RNAcentral describes it as "partial 23S ribosomal RNA". It matches the Rfam family "Bacterial large subunit ribosomal RNA", at positions 66 to 575 of the family's 2925-position model. The record is from RNAcentral. Lineage: Bacteria; Pseudomonadati; Pseudomonadota; Gammaproteobacteria; Enterobacterales; Enterobacteriaceae.